Long non-coding RNA from Dendronephthya gigantea, 361 nucleotides. RefSeq lists it as uncharacterized. The transcript has 4 exons. The record is from RefSeq and is a predicted model, not a curated record. Lineage: Eukaryota; Metazoa; Cnidaria; Anthozoa; Malacalcyonacea; Nephtheidae.
AUUAUGCUAGUAGAGAUGCCUCUAAAGUGUAUUUGUUGGGUUCUUUCCCUCGAUGGAGAGCGUUUAAGGAGCAGCAUAAAUUGAGAACAGACAAGGAUGUGGCGGAUAUGCUUCUUGACAGCUAUCUUGCGAUGAAUCGUAUAGUUUGCAAUGCAGAGACGCAAACCGAAACGGUAAUGGAAUCAACGGAUAUGCCGCCAGUUAAAACCUCAACGCCAAGCGCGCACUCAAUCCGCGUCGAUUGUCUGCUUUGUCGGAUGUUAGAACAUCAUAUUCUAUCAGGUCGGGUCAGAGUGUGAUUUCUGACAGUCGAACAUUGACAGCCAAAGAUGAUAGUUCUGAUGAUGAAAGUGAUGAUGAU